GGGGCUAGGGCUCAGUGGUAGAGUGCUCACCUAGCAUGUGUGAGGUACUGGGUUCGAUCCUUAGCACCA
RNAcentral lists this transfer RNA (69 nucleotides) under Ictidomys tridecemlineatus (thirteen-lined ground squirrel). RNAcentral's name for it is "Spermophilus tridecemlineatus (thirteen-lined ground squirrel) tRNA". It matches the Rfam family "tRNA". Rfam says of the family: Transfer RNA (tRNA) molecules are approximately 80 nucleotides in length. Their secondary structure includes four short double-helical elements and three loops (D, anti-codon, and T loops). Further hydrogen bonds mediate the characteristic L-shaped molecular structure. tRNAs have two regions of fundamental functional importance: the anti-codon, which is responsible for specific mRNA codon recognition, and the 3' end, to which the tRNAs corresponding amino acid is attached (by aminoacyl-tRNA synthetases). tRNAs cope with the degeneracy of the genetic code in two manners: having more than one tRNA (with a specific anti-codon) for a particular amino acid; and 'wobble' base-pairing, i.e. permitting non-standard base-pairing at the 3rd anti-codon position. Lineage: Eukaryota; Metazoa; Chordata; Mammalia; Rodentia; Sciuridae. The record is from Rfam by way of RNAcentral.